Anopheles funestus (African malaria mosquito) is the source of this 734-nucleotide long non-coding RNA. RefSeq lists it as uncharacterized. The record is from RefSeq and is a predicted model, not a curated record. The transcript is spliced from 3 exons. NCBI's taxonomy places the organism in Eukaryota, Metazoa, Arthropoda, Insecta, Diptera, Culicidae.
GAAAAAUCUUUAAAGCAUCAUUUUCGAUCUAUUACCCCUUCCGUUGAUGUGUUCGUUAUUAAUCUCUUCGUGGACGGCCUUCCUUUACAUAACAGUUCUCCCACCGAAUUUUGGCCAAUUAUGAUGCAGCUUUACGAACAGCCGGAAGUUCCUAUCUUAACGUUAGGAAUAUAUUGCGGAUCGUCGAAACCACACAAUGUGGAGGACUACCUACGGCCUCUAAUAGUUGAUUUGAACCACGCAAUAGAAGAAGGAAUUGUGAUCAACCGAAAGAAGAUCAACAUAUGUUUAAGAGCAUUUAUUGCUGAUACCCCGGCACGAACAUUCAUAAAAGGAGUAGCAGCUCACAACGGUUAUCAAGGCUGUACAAAAUGCAAAAUUGCGGGAAGAUAUUGCAAAGCAGGACGAAAGAUUAUUUUCGAAGGAGUAGCUGCCGAGCGGACGGAUGCUGAAUUUAGAGGUGGAAAUUACAUCAUAGGGCAUCAAAAAAAAUUGACACCACUUUUAGACGUAAAAGGAUUAGAUGUAGUUAAACAAAUUUUAGUGGCAGACGAAUUGCAUAUAAUCCAUUUAGGAAUAAUACGAAAAUUAUUGAAAGGCUACACAGUAGGAGCUUUAUCUCCGUUUGAAAAAUGGAAUCAUGAAGAAAUUUCAGAAUUUUCAAAAACUUUGGUUAGUAUAGAGUUACCAGCUGAAAUUCAUCGAGUUGUUAGACCGCUGCAACAUGUAGCAUA